This 6862-nucleotide long non-coding RNA is filed under the name Malus domestica (apple). RNAcentral describes it as "long non-coding RNA (MDOM_LNC016737)". The record is from RNAcentral. Lineage: Eukaryota; Viridiplantae; Streptophyta; Magnoliopsida; Rosales; Rosaceae.
UUAUUAAAACAGAAUAAAAUAUAAAUUUGGAAAGAUUUAACCGAGAGAGGAGAGUGCUUCAGUGCUCUGUCUGUCCGUGCCUUUGAACCCCUGCCGAGGCUCACGCUGCAAGGCAGCCUUGCUGCUUUCCGUCAGUCUCUCUGCAUCCUGCCUCCCGCCAGUCUCGUCAGUCUCUGCUUCUCCAACUAGCUGCCAGGCAGCUGUUCUUUUCCGCGCCUAUCAUCUCCCCCAGCUGCCAAGCAGCUUGUUUUCCUCCUCUGCCGAGCUGCCAAGCAGCUCCUUUGCUUCUUGGUUUUCUUUCUUCUCGCCCCAGCUGCCAAAUGGCAGCUCUGAUCUUUCCCCCCUCGAGCCUCAGCUGCAAAGGCAGCUUAUAUUUCUCCACGUGCUGCUUCUUCAAAUGCUGCCAAGUUCUUCUUAUUUUCUGUGCUCACCAACCACACUGCACUCAAGAGUUUUGUUUAAUCCUCUUUUCUUACACUAGCUGCAAGUGCAGCUUUCAUUUCUUUUGUUUAUUAGCUGCACACACACCUACCGCACUUCACAAAUGCCAUUCACCAACUCCCUCUAUAUAUAGAUAUAUAUGUGAUAUAUAUAUAUAUUAUUUAUAUAUCUAUAUCUAUUUAUAUGUAUAAAUAUUAUAUAUAUAUAUAUAUAUAUUAUGCUCUCCAUUAUUUUUCUAGUGGUCCACCCGUGUUCCACUAUUUUCUGUUUAUUAUUUAAAACUCAUUUGUGCUAUUUUUAUUUUCUUUGCAUAACAAAUCCUAUAAACACAAAAAUAACGUAAAUAGCUCAAAAAUAUAAGGAACUAACUAAGAAAAGACGAGUGAAUUUGAAGUAAAAAUAUAUAUAAAUAUGAUCCGAUCAAAUAGCCCCAUACUUAGCUUUUGCUAGUCCUCGAGCAAAACAAAGAAACCAUGAAAAAGUACUAACAUGAAAAACAUUAGUUUCCCCAUAUGUGACCCUCAUAGAAUUUCAUUUGAGAACACAAAUCAUCAAGAACCAUAGCUAGCACCAAACAAGUUAAUCCAAGUUCAUCUUCCUUAUUCAAAUAUUAGCAGUAAUCUUUGAAUCAUCCUUGAAGUGUAGUGUGUGAGAUAGCCAUGCUAAUGCAAUUUCAAGUUUUUAUUUUUAAAAUCAUCAUAUGCAAACUAACGACCUUCUCACUGGAUAUGCACUCAAUCACACAUGUGUUUAGUUUUAAUGUGUUUCGCUCAAAGAAUCAAAUGUGAAAGUUCUACCAUAAGCUUGCAUAAAGAUCACUUCUCCACAGUCAUAAUUGCAAAACUUAAAUCAAGAGGACUUUUAUUGGAUGUAAUGAGGUUUAGGGAUAGGGUUAUUGAAACGAAAGAAUAGGAAAACACAAGUUCCAAGCUACAUUGCAAGCAAUUCUUUUCUUUAGAUUUACAAGAACUCAAGCUCUCCAACGAUUCUUCUGACAUCUCCAACCACACCCUUAAACUUGAAACUUUAAAAACUUUAUUUAUUUUCUUUGUAUACAAUCUUUCUUUUUCUUUUUUCUUUUCUUCUCUUUUUUUUUUUUUUUUUUUUUUUAAUUACAAACAUGAAAUACUCCCACACUUAUUCUUUUGCCAAACACUUUCAAAGUACUUCACAAACAUUUCUCAUAAGACAAUCUCACAUUGCUCACUAGCUUGCUUGGAAAGGGUAAGGAAGAAUGUUUCAGGUAUAAGGGUAGACAUAUCUGGUGGUAAGAAAUAAAAGGCUCAACAUACACGGCUCAAAUUGGCAAUCUAAUGAUAUCAUUUUUAUUUGGGAAACAUGGUUAUUUGGGCCAUAGUGGUAAACCUAAUGCCUCUAUCAUUUCCAAGUUCAUGCAAUCAAUGACAAACAUUUCGAAAGAUCGUUACGCAAGUUCUAGAGAUGUAUCUCACAUAAGUUCAUCACACAUGAAAGAAUAGAAGUGUAUGAAAAAUGCACACACUUUCAAUAGCCUCAAAAACUCACAUAGGAUGUAUAUGGUCACUAAAUUCACAUAUGAAGCUUUAAGUCAUACUUUAGUUUCACAUUAACAAGGCUAUGUGCAUUUGGUUUUUCAAAGAUGGUCAAACAUGUACAAAACUAACAAGAGAAUUAGGAAUUUCACCAAACACAUGUUAACUAAGUUCUUGAUGAUCAUGGUUCAAAUUUUUGAUCCAAUUAUAUCAUUGGGUCGGGAAACUAACAAAAAUCUAAUUCAAAACAAUAAGGGAAACAAGAAAAUAUUUUUGGAUUUUUAAAUUUUCCGAAUAUUUUUUUUUUUUUUUUAAAAGAAAACAAAAAACAACACACAUAAACAAAUGAAAUUCUAGAGAUUUCUACCCCCACACUUAAACUUGACAUUGUCCCCAAUGUCAGAAAAAACUAUAAUGCAAAUAAAAAUAAAAUAAAAUAAAUAAAAUAAUAAGAAACAAAAUAAAGCAAUUAGACUGAAAACUUCCCUAAUUUGCAGUAAAAUCGAGCGAUGACCCCCAAGCUAAAAUUCUGCAAUCAACUUCAAGGGUGGAAAUAACCAAAAGUUCCUGCAAAGAAAAGAAAUAAUUCAGUUAAGUACGCAAGAAAAUUAAUUAAAAAAAAAAUUGCAAACGAAAAAUUGAAAAUUACGAUAAAAGAUAAUGAAUAAAACUAAUAAGUAAUCAUUGGUCGUGCUUGUUGACUUUCCACAGCUUUCCUCUUGAACUGGGUGACACUUAGCUUUUACUUGCAAGUGAUGAUUUGAUGAUAUUGUACGGCGAAGCUUUGCUCUUUGGUGAUGUUGCAGUUCCUUAUUUGUUCUCCAAGCAGAUGUGGCAGCUUCUUUAGUUCUUCAGCUCGGACUCCUUGUGCUGGGUUGAUUGUACGAGCUGCAUUCUUCUCUGCUUGUUUCUUCUGCACAACGGGCAGGCACGAGGGAGAGGUGUUGGUCUGUUUCUUUCUUCAAUCUUUCCAAGUGCCCACCUCUUGCUUUCUUUCUCCUUGUCCCUAGCUGAAUUGUCUCCACAUGAUUCGAGGUAUCAUUUUCACUUCCCUUACUGUCCCCCAGGCAGAUGUGGUAGACGAAGAGAAAGCAUAAAAUGAUGAAGAUGAGUACUCGAGAGCAAGGCUAGGUAAGCAAUCAGGAAGGGGUUCCAGGCAGUUGGCUCCAGAUCGGAAGAUUGAUACCAAAUGCUGGCUGAUUGCUCUCUUUCUCCUUGUCGGAAAACAAAGACAAGGAGAAGGACAUGGAGAAAGCAUGAUAUGAGAUACUCUUGCUUUCAACCUUUAUGAUAUGAAAUACUUUUGCUUUGAAUGGGUUGUUCGCAGGAGUAUCCCAAGGAAUGAGGAACACAGAGUGACUCGAGAGGAUUCUUUGGGAAUGCAUUUUCGGAGAUGAAGAGGUGUUGAGAGGGUGUGCUGAGAGAAUGUGCUUUUGCUGUGGAAGGCGAAGGUAGAAACUUAUAGGACUUGUCUUCACAACCGGAACUGUUCUCUCACUCAUUGUCGGCAGCCGGUGGAUGGAUGAAUAGUACAAAUUACGCGCUUUCUGACAAAGCUGCCCGUAAUUUCCGCAAAGCUGCCAGUUGCAUGUGACAAAUGCUGACUAGGCUGAGAGAGACAGAUGGUUGGAAUCGGCACUUCGACAGACUGCCCGUGAUUUUCGCAGAGCUGAGUUUGCGUGUGACGGGUGACAACAAGUCUGGACGAAUUGAUCUUGCGAAAUCCGGGGUUCGACUCGUGGUUUCUGAGCAAGCCCAACUUUUAAGAAAUUAAAUGCCUCUUUUGAGAAAAGAAUCCGGCUUUUGAGAACGGAGCCCCGACUCUUCGAUUUGCGAGAUGACGCUUCUUCGAUUUCUUCCUUUUUAUAGAGGCGUUAAUCUUGUUCCACAACACACUUAUCCCUCCAGUAAACACUCCCUUCUUGCACUUGUUUAAUCUUGAUCAGUCCGACUCUCUUCUUUCUUCACCACCUCUGAAAAAUGUCUGGCCCUUCCGAUCGUCGUUUUGACUUGAACCGUGGUGAAGAGGCAGCUCCGCCUUCACCAGACAACAUAUGGCGCCCAUCUUUCAUAUCCCCUACCGGUCCUCUUACCGUUGGGGAUUCAGUGAUGAAAAAUGACAUGACUGCAGCGGUGGUGGCCCGGAACUUUGUCACCCCCAGAGAUAACAGACUGCUCGCUAGACGGUCUGAUGAAUUGGCGGUUAAGGAGUCUCUGGCUCUUAGCGUGCAGUGUGCCGGUUCCGUGUCCAACAUGGCCCAACGCCUAUUUGCCAGAACCCGUCACGUUGAAUCGUUGGUGGCUGAAAUACAGAGUCUCAAAGAGGAGAUUAAAGGACUCAAGCAUGAAAAUAAACAAUUGCACAAGCUCGCACACAGCUAUGCCACCAGCAUGAAGAGGAAGAUUGACCAGAUGCAGGACACCGAUGGUCAAAUUUUACUUGAUCAUCGGAGGUUUGUGGGUUUGUUCCAACAACAUCUGCCUUCGUCUUCUGGAGCGGCACCGCGUAGUGAAGCUCCAACUGAUCAACCUCUGCCGCCUCCUCCUUCUGUGGCCCCGCCGACUGCUGAAGCACCAUCCGACCAAUGAAUACUAUUAGUUUACAUCAUUGUAAAAUAUUUGUACUCUUUUUUUUUUUUUUUUUUUAAAUGUAUUUUUUUUUUAAUUGUUUUUUUUAUUUUUUAUAUAUAUAUAUUUUUUUUAUAUGUAAAUUAAAGUAGAAAGACUUUGGUUAACUUUCCCCCACACUUAAACUAAAUAACACAAACUCACAGAAAUCAAACAAAUAACACAACUAACUAAACAAAACAAAAUGAAAGCAUUAAAGAUAAGGGUGUAAAAAUGCAAAUCUGAUUGGGUUAGCGAUUCCAAAGUCUCUCUUCGUUGAAUGCUUGGGUUGCCUCCCAAGAAGCGCUUGAUUUAACGUCUUUAGCCGGACGCAUCUUUCCUUUAAAUUUCCCUCAGCUCCAUUUGAACCUAAAAUCAAAGAAAGAAAAAUAAAUCAAAUAUCAAAAGUAAAAUACACAAACACCAAUAUAAACAUAAACAAAAACAAAAAUAAAAGGAUUAGCAAAGUUACUAAUCUCCGGCAACGGCGCCAAAAUUUGAUGUGAGAAAUUACUUGACACACAAAUUAAACCCUCUUUUUGACAAUUGUAGUAUAGAUGUAAGUAGGGUAUCGUUCUAAGUCGGGGAUUAGGAGGGAUUGCUAAUCUAUUCUAAAUUAAUUUAAAAAUAUUAAACAAGACUCAAGGACACAAAACUAGGCUAAAAACUCUAAUAACUCGAAACACACUUAGAAUGACUCAAAAUAAUGAAAACAAUCAAAUUAGACACUAGGAAUUAAAAUGGACGGAAAUUGAAUUAAAAAACUAAAAACAAUGAAAACUAACUAAAUAAUAUAAUUUAAUAAUGAGGGGGGUUUGGUUUUGACGAGACGUAAAUUAAACUUAAAUAAAUUACAGAAUUGACAAAAGCAUGAAAUUAAGGUGAAAUGAUAAGUGACGGAUUAGCUAGAGGGUUCUUCUCCACACAUGACACAUAUGCAACCUAAAUUGAUUUUCAGUUGUUCUUUCAAUAAAUUGUAAAUCUCAACGCCCCAAAUUAACCGUGAAUUGCACUAAUUAACCCUCAGUUUUUCCACAAUGUUAUUGGGUUGGAUGAUUGCAUACGACAACCCAAAACAUUCCCUACGAGUUCCCUACAUGAAUUGCAUAAUAGAGAUACAAGCAAGAAUCAUUAAGUUCUAUGAAAAACAUAAGCAUUGACGAGGCACUCGUUACUAUGAUUUGCAUGAAACUUAUGCCAAGAAUUUACUUAACGUGAUUGUGACUAGCAACCUUCACUACUUGUGAAUAUAAGUUCAUAACGAUUAGGUGAAAUUCACUUAUAUUCUAGCAUCAAAUUCAUGCAUGUAAAUUAAGUAUGCAUCCUUAAUCGACAUACAAAAAUAAGUUAUAAAUCAAGCAGUUAAGCAAAUUAAAUCACAACUCAGAAAUCACAACUGAAGGUAAUCAAUUCAUAUUACAAAUAUAUUCAUGGCUUUGAAUUAACCUCUAGCCAAAAUAAAUUUAGUUACACAUUAUUAAAACAGAAAUAAAAUAUAAGUUUGGAAAGAUUUAACCGAGAGAGGAGAGUGCUUCAGUGCUCUGUCUGUCCGUGCCUUUGAACCCCUGCCGAGGCUCACGCUGCAAGGCAGCCUUGCUGCUUUCCGUCAGUCUCUCUGCAUCCUGCCUCCUGCCAGUCUCGUCAGUCUCUGCUUCUCCAACUAGCUGCCAGGCAGCUGUUCUUUUCCGCGCUUAUCAUCUCCCCCAGCUGCCAAGCAGCUUGUUUUCCUCCUCUGCCGAGCUGCCAAGCAGCUCCUUUGCUUCUUGGUUUUCUUUCUUCUCACCCCAGCUGCCAAAUGGCAGCUCUGAUCUUUCCCCCCUCGAGCCUCAGCUGCAAAGGCAGCUUAUAUUUCUCCACGUGCUGCUUCUUCAAAUGCUGCCAAGUUCUUCUUAUUUUCUGUGCUCACCAACCACACUGCACUCAAGAGUUUUGUUUAAUCCUCUUUUCUUACACUAGCUGCAAGUGCAGCUUUCAUUUCUUUUGUUUAUUAGCUGCACACACACCUACCGCACUUCACAAAUGCCAUUCACCAACUCCCUCUAUAUAUAGAUAUAUAUGUGAUAUAUAUAUAUAUUAUUUAUAUAUCUAUAUCUAUUUAUAUGUAUAAAUAUUAUAUAUAUAUAUAUAUAUAUAUUUUAUGCUCUCAAUUAUUUUUCUAGUGGUCCACCCGUGUUCCACUAUUUUCUGUUUAUUAUUUAAAACUCAUUUGUGCUAUUUUUAUUUUCUUUGCAUAACAAAUCCUAUAAACACAAAAAUAACGUAAAUAGCUCAAAAAUAUAAGGAACUAACUAAGAAAAGACGAG